Molecule: long non-coding RNA, 409 nt
Organism: Herpailurus yagouaroundi (jaguarundi)
Lineage: Eukaryota; Metazoa; Chordata; Mammalia; Carnivora; Felidae
Exons: 2
Source: RefSeq, a predicted model, not a curated record
ACUUGCUCUCUCUCCCCGGCAUAUCACCACUGCAUAUCACCACUGCGUCGGUGCAGUGAUAUUUGCGUUCUGCCCAGCAAGACUGAAUCCACAGCCAAGAGUUCCUAGUUCGGGGAUUUCAUGCUAUGUGGUCAUACCAGCAGAGGGUAAGAAAGCCUUCCCUAACUACGGUCCACCACACCAUGCCAAGCCUGUGGAAAAAGCAAGCGAGGGCGUUUGUGAAUUUACCAUGAUCCUAUCCCCACUUCCACGUGGUGCAACGACAGUUCAUUCAAACAGAAGAGGCUGAUUGAGGGAAAACCACAAACAACUUUGGAAGUAAAAUCUUAGACAAAGCAAACGUUCAUUGACUCUUGGAGACAGAUCAAAUAUUUAUUAACUCAGAAAAGAAUUAAAGUCUAUUCAUGCA